RNAcentral lists this ribosomal RNA (221 nucleotides) under Klebsiella aerogenes. RNAcentral describes it as "partial 23S ribosomal RNA". It matches the Rfam family "Bacterial large subunit ribosomal RNA", at positions 1 to 222 of the family's 2925-position model. Lineage: Bacteria; Pseudomonadati; Pseudomonadota; Gammaproteobacteria; Enterobacterales; Enterobacteriaceae. The record is from RNAcentral. RNAcentral also lists the same sequence under 6 other names.
GGUUAAGCGACUAAGCGUACACGGUGGAUGCCCUGGCAGUCAGAGGCGAUGAAGGACGUGCUAAUCUGCGAAAAGCGUCGGUAAGGUGAUAUGAACCGUUACAGCCGGCGAUGUCCGAAUGGGGAAACCCAGUGCAAUUCGUUGCACUAUCGUUAACUGAAUACAUAGGUUAACGAGGCGAACCGGGGGAACUGAAACAUCUAAGUACCCCGAGGAAAAGA